Saccostrea cuccullata (small rock oyster) is the source of this 410-nucleotide long non-coding RNA. RefSeq lists it as uncharacterized. Lineage: Eukaryota; Metazoa; Mollusca; Bivalvia; Ostreida; Ostreidae. The transcript is spliced from 3 exons. The record is from RefSeq and is a predicted model, not a curated record.
GUAAUAAAUUUAUGUAUGUAUUUGUUUUAUGCUCAAAAGGGCCCUGAUUAUAAACAGAUAUCAUAUUCAUAGAUUAUAAAAGAAACAUUUAAUACUACAGGUGAAGCAAGCUAUGAACUAGACAGUGUAUUCAGCUUUCUCUGCUGAAAUAAUGUGACCAAAUCAAGUGUUACCUGGAAAGAGGAAUGUCAAGGGUGCUUUUUAUAUUAACUCCAAAAUAGCCAUUGGAAAGUUCAAGCCAGAUCUGCGACAGCAAACUGAACAUAAAGUGGCAUACUUGUGUGUCAGGAAACGAGGAACAGUAUGGCUGUACUGAGAAUCUAACCGGGGAUCCCUGCAUCACUACUUACAAAUCCCAUGGAAAUAUAGGAUCCUUGGCUAAUCAAGUGUCAUCUGCAGUGUUACAAAAG